GUACAGGGGGCGGCACCUUCGCGGGUGUCGGGCCGUGAUGCCUUGACGAGUAGGAGGGUCGCGGCGAUGUGCGCAGAAGGGUCUGGGCGUGAGCCUGCCUGGAGCCGUCGUCGGCGCAGAUCUUGGUGGUAGUAGCAAAUACUCCAGCGAGGACCUGGAGGACUGACGUGGAGAAGGGUUUCUUGUGAACAGCUGUUGCACAAGAGUCAGUCGAUCCUAAGCCCUAGGAGAAAUCCUAUGUCGAUGGGGAGCCGUUUGAACGAAAACGGACGCCGAGCUCCUGUACUGUGUGAGCGGGAGCGAGUGCGUCCAACUUGAACGGAAGGCGACCCACGGGGCGAAAGGGAAUCCGGUUCCUAUUCCGGAACCCGGCUGCGGAACCGUUCCUAAGCGGGCCCUCAUCCGAGAGCUCGACGGGGCAACCCGAAGAGACCCGGAGACGCCGGCGGGAGGUCCGGAGAGAGUUUUCUUUUCUCUAUAAGCGUUCGAGUUCCCUGGAAGCCUAUAGCAGGGAGAUAGGGUUUGGAACGCGAAGAGCACCGCAGUUGCGGCGGUGUCCGGAUCUUCCCCUCGGACCUUGAAAAUCCGGGAGAGGGCUACGCGGAAUGUCCGCGCCGGAU
This 620-nucleotide ribosomal RNA is filed under the name Phymatostetha sema. RNAcentral's name for it is "partial large subunit ribosomal RNA". It matches the Rfam family "Eukaryotic large subunit ribosomal RNA", at positions 1328 to 1842 of the family's 3401-position model. The record is from RNAcentral. Lineage: Eukaryota; Metazoa; Arthropoda; Insecta; Hemiptera; Cercopidae.